RNAcentral lists this ribosomal RNA (707 nucleotides) under bacterium. Its description in RNAcentral is "bacterial SSU rRNA". It matches the Rfam family "Bacterial small subunit ribosomal RNA", at positions 69 to 790 of the family's 1533-position model. The record is from RNAcentral.
AUGAACCUCACUUGUGGGGGGAUUAGUGGCGAACGGGUGAGUAACACGUGAGUAACCUGCCCUUAACUCUGGGAUAAGCCUGGGAAACUGGGUCUAAUACCGGAUAUGACUCCUCAUCGCAUGGUGGGGGGUGGAAAGCUUUUUGUGGUUUUGGAUGGACUCGCGGCCUAUCAGCUUGUUGGUGAGGUAAUGGCUUACCAAGGCGACGACGGGUAGCCGGCCUGAGAGGGUGACCGGCCACACUGGGACUGAGACACGGCCCAGACUCCUACGGGAGGCAGCAGUGGGGAAUAUUGCACAAUGGGCGCAAGCCUGAUGCAGCGACGCCGCGUGAGGGAUGACGGCCUUCGGGUUGUAAACCUCUUUCAGUAGGGAAGAAGCGAAAGUGACGGUACCUGCAGAAGAAGCGCCGGCUAACUACGUGCCAGCAGCCGCGGUAAUACGUAGGGCGCAAGCGUUAUCCGGAAUUAUUGGGCGUAAAGAGCUCGUAGGCGGUUUGUCGCGUCUGCCGUGAAAGUCCGGGGCUCAACUCCGGAUCUGCGGUGGGUACGGGCAGACUAGAGUGAUGUAGGGGAGACUGGAAUUCCUGGUGUAGCGGUGAAAUGCGCAGAUAUCAGGAGGAACACCGAUGGCGAAGGCAGGUCUCUGGGCAUUAACUGACGCUGAGGAGCGAAAGCAUGGGGAGCGAACAGGAUUAGAUACCCUGG